GGAAAUAUGGAAGAAAGGCCCACACGUCGGGAUUACAUAGAGAUAUCAACGCACCGCGCGAUUUUCUACCAUCUAGAAGACUCCAGAAGCCACAUGAAGAAAGCGGAGGCCGAAAGGGGCCAGGCCCAGGGCGCCCGCCCUGAGGACCUGGGCGCCCACCCCCCUCUGGAUGCCUUUCGGGACUCUCUUCGCACACAAUGUUCCACCGACCUAAUGGAUCAAAGAUAAUGUAGUACCACCUCGCCUACCGACCCAAAAACGCAUAGAGGAGGAGGACUAUAUAAGGAGACCCCCCGGCCCCUGGAGAAGACAAGAAGUUAUCAUAGAGAUUGAGGGGUGCCCUCGAAGGAAAACCUCUUCUCUAAAUAAUAUUUCUUUUUAGGCUUAGCAACCAAUGUAAGUAGAAAUAGAUCUUCUAGUUUCUACUAGAUUGAGAGAGAUAGAGUGGAGGUGUAGAUCGGAGGAAGGCCGGCCUGUCGGUGUCUACUCCGAGUUGUACCUACGGGAUCAAGUCUUCUAACCCAAGGCUUGCUUCUAAGAUUCUUCAGUAAUUCGACUUCUAAUUCUAGUAAGUUCUUGUUUUAUUGUUCUUUGGUUUAUGAGUUUACUUUAAUCCUCUUCCGGUUGAGUAUUAGAGUAAUCAUUGCUAGCGUAAACGUGGUGUUUAGGUUAGGGUACUCAUAGAUAUCCCCUGACUAGCUGGACCGUGGUAGUAGCGAGGAACGUGAUAUUUCGGAGUUACCUUUGUAUCCCAUAUCUUGUUAGCAGGACGGGUAGGUUUAUAGGUGCGGGUCGAACAUCCUUUGUGUUGUCUAGAUUUCAUGAGCCUCCCCAAUAGAAUAGUAGAUCAUCCUUACCAAGGUUAGAACGAGACUACGGUUGCAGUCUUCUCUAUACAUCACUCACAUCUAGAAACAUUCUUUGUAGCCUAAAGGGAUAGUAGCAAUAGAUUUGGUUAGUGUGGGGGUAUAAACCCCUAUACCCUUAUGGCUAGACUUGGGCCAGGAGGCUUGGCCCAUUACGAGAUAAGCUGAAGGCUUGAUCCGACAGCUUGGAGUUUCGCGCAAGGAAACAUGACAUGGAGAUCAAGUAGGAUUCUAGUCGGUUAGAAUAGGAAUUGAUAUGGAACUAUCUAUGGCAAUUGUAACCGACUAGGAUUAGUUCCCAGAUCUGUAACCCUGCCCUCUGGACUAUAUAAGGAGGGGCAAGGGACCCCCCUAAGACACAAUAUUCUCUCAACAUAAAUCAAUACAACCAGACGCAGGACGUAGGUAUUACGCCAACUCGGCGGCCGAACCUGGAUAAAAAGCUUGUCCAUGUCUUGCAUCACCAUCGAGUUCGUAGUUUGCGCACCGUCUACCAAUAAACUACUACCGUGGGUAUACCUCAAGGUAGACUGCCGACCAGCUUUCGUCGACAGUGGUGCGCCAGGUAGGGGGUGUGCGUACAACUUCUCCGACGAGCAAGAUGGUCAUAGUUCCAGAUUCCGCGGCCGUGCCUGAAGGCCUCACGUUCACCGUCGGCCAGAUCACAUGGAUGACGCGCGGCGGUGGUCUCAUGACCACGGUUUCGGAAGGAACCCAGAUCCAAUCUGGGAUCACGUCAACUCCGACCACUCGGAUGACGGCAUCGAGCGCCCGACCACCGCUCCCGCUCUACAAGGGGAAGAAGAUCGACUGCUCGGACCUUCUCCAAGCACUUGAUCGCGCCGAUUCCAAGCUACUUGAAGCUUCCCAACUAGUAGAUGGAAUCUUGCGCCAGCCUGAUCAAUCCGCCCCAACGGAUUUUUUCAAAUCCCACCGGCCAACUCGUGUCGUUACACACGAACGGCUGGGAACGUCUCUGACGAUAACCUCAACUCCCUCAGGACGAUCCGUCAAGAUCAAGGCUAACCUGGAGGAAGAUUAUCCCUUUUCAACAAGGCGGGUUGGCUGCCAAAGUGGAACGGUCGACCUGCUCGUCACUACGUCAACAUGGUGACGAUCCGAGAACUACGGGACGACCAGGCUUCCAGCACAAAUUCGAGCACUGGUUCCGUCCCCACCGAAGUCAUAAACUCCGAAGACGAGGACUACGACCUGGAUUUGCCUUCACAUCCUCCGGGCUUCUCUCGUUUCCCGGUCUUCCCACCCCGGCGAGGAGACAUCGUUUUCAAUGUCAGCGCCGACGAGCCAGUCGUUGAUGGAGAAACAGACGAGCAGAGGCAGCUCCGCGAGCAGCGUAACGCCGAUCGCGCCCGACGACACGCAGACGAGGAACGUCAAAUCCCGCCGCAUAAUCUCAGUGACGCUUUCGACAUGGUCGGGGAUCAGCCAGUUUAUAAAACGCCAAGCGCCAAUGUGGCCGUCGCCAUGGCCAAUUUAGAUCGGUUUCCUGAUACUCCCGAGUGCCGGGGCGUCCGAACUAGCGUUCGGGCACAUCUGAUCGCCGCGAUGGGACAGACAGCCACUCUACUCAAAAGAGUCUAAGCCGUCUCCUAUACGGAGGCCACCUCCGACCAGACUCACCGCAGCCGGACCUCACCGCAGCCCAGUAGGCACCACCGCAGCCGUUCCCCCGACAAUCAUCGAAAAGAUUCACGGCGUGACGACGGCGGUCGGGAUACCGGCGGUCACCGCGAGCAGAGUCGCAGGCGUGGUCAAGAAGUAAACCAGUACAUGGAUCUUCGACACAACAUCCCUCCCAAAGACGCCCGGGACCGUAUCAACAGGCGCGCCACGGAGAGAGCAGUUCACGAAAGCUUGCGUCGUAUUGAGUACGAUGCAACGCACGGCCCCCCGGGCCUGAAGCAGUUCUCUUCACACCUCCGCCAGGUCAUGUGGCCGUGAAAUUUCAAGCUUGAGAAACUCAAAAAAUACGACGGCAAGGAAAACCCAGAGAACUAGAUCACUCUUUACGAGAUUGCCGUCUGAUCAGCAGGAGGAGAUGAGCACGUCAUGGCCAACUACUUUCCAGUAGUCCUCGACCAGGCUGGUCACCAGUGGCUCCUAGGCCUGCCCGAGGACUCUUGCGACUCCUGGGAAGAACUACGCCAAGCCUUCAUCGACAACUUCAUCGCCACCUGCGAGCAGCCUGGGAACAAGUAUGACCUCGAAAGGAUAAGAGAUAGGAAAAACGAACCUCUGCGCGACUACAUCCGACGAUUCUCGGAUAUGCGCCUUAAGAUCCCGAAGAUUUCCCACGACGAGGCUAUAUCUGCUUUCAUCAAAGGGCUGCGCUUCCACGAAGCGCUGAGGAACAAGCUACUGCGCAAAAGGCCAACAACGAUGACAGAGCUCCUCGCCAUGACCAAAAAUUAUGCCGACGCCGAUGACGCAGAAAAACUCAUCCGAGAUGACACCAGAGGUCCCGACCAGCCUUCUCGGCGUGACGAUAGUCGCGGCCGUUUCGACAACAGGAACCAUCGCCGCCCCGAUAACUGGGACCAGAGAGAGGGCUGGGACAGGCGCCGCGACAACCGCGACGAUUUCAGAGGCAAGCGCCCUCGCGAUCACGACCACGAGGUGAAUACGGUCAAACGCCCCAACGGACGGCGGGAUUACCAAGAAGACUACAACAAGACGUUGAAGGGACCAUGCCAACUGCACCCAAAAUCCAACCACACCAUGGAAGAAUGCUACGUCCUCAAAGGCAUUUAUACGCGGCGUGCUGCUCAAGACAAUCCCUCCAAGAAAAACGGGAAACAAGAUGGGCGCGAUCAUGAAGACGAGGACGAAGACCAGGAUAGGGACCCACGACACCAGUAUGUCAGUCCUACUGACAUGGUCUAUUCCAUCUUCGGAGGCAAGGUCUCCAUCGAGUCUAAACGAGAAAGAAAGCUCUUAAAGAGAGCCUGCCUCAACAUAGACAGCAUUGAUGGUCUGAUCGCCGACCCAAAAUUUCCUCCCUGGUCGCACAGGGAAAUCUCCUUCAGCAGGAAGGAUCAGUGGGCCGCUAUCCCGGAACCGGGUCGUUUCCCUCUAAUCUUGGACCCUUGCAUCAACAGCAUCAGAUUCGAGCGCGUGCUCGUGGACGGAGUAAGCUCCAUUGACAUCCUCUUCCGCAACAGCCUGCCCGCUCUCAAGAUAUCUCCGGCACAAUUAAAACACUACGAUGCUCAAUUCUAGGGAGUCUUGCCAGGUCAGAGUUCAGUGCCCCUCGGACAGAUAACAUUGCCUGUCCAAUUCGGCAUGCCCGACCACUUUCGGACAGAGUUCGUCAACUUUGUGGUCGCCGACUUUGAUGGGACCUACCACGCUAUACUGGGCCGACCAUCGCUGACAAAAUUCAUGGCGGUCCUGCAUUACUCAUACCUGGUCCUCAAAAUCCCUACGGAGAAGGGCGUCCUGACUGUCAGAGGCAAUGUCUACACUGCAUAUACUUGUGAGGAGGAGAGCUUCAAGAUCACCGAAGCAAUUGAUCUCUCAACCCGGAUGGCAGAAACAGCAACCCAAGCCGCACAGCUACCUCCCGACCAGCUCCGCCUACCCGAGCAGGAGACCGCCAGGAAGAAUUCAAAAUCUAAGGAGCAUAAAGAAGUACAACUGGUCGACGGCAGUCCCGAGAAGACGGCCCUCAUCGGGGCCAAUCUGGACCCCAAAUAGGAAGACACGCUCGUCAGAUUUCUAAGGGACAACGUGGGCGUUUUCGCAUGGAAACCCGCAGACAUGCCCGGCGUCCCACGAAAUCUGAUCGAGCACUCCUUAAACGUCUCGAAGACCGCAAGACCAAUCAAGCAAAAGCUGCGACGGUUCGCUCGUGACAAAAAGGAGGCUAUUAGGACAGAAAUAACACGGCUUCUAGCAGCCGGAUUCAUAAAAGAAGUGUAUCAUCCCGAUUGGCUUGCCAAUCCAGUUCUUGUACACAAAAAGAAUAAUGAAUGGAGAAUGUGCGUUGAUUACACUGAUCUCAAUAAACACUGUCCUAAAGACCCUUUUGGUCUCCCUCACAUCGACGAGGUGGUCGACUCAACGGCCGGAUGCGAACUCCUCUCUUUUCUAGAUUGUUACUCUGGUUAUCACCAGAUCUCGCUAAAGGAAGACGAUCAGAUAAAAACGUCUUUCAUUACUCCUUUCGGCGCAUACUGCUACACGACCAUGUCAUUCGGACUCAAAAACGCCGGAGCCACCUAUCAACGGGCCAUCCAGCAAUGCCUCCACGACGAGAUUCGUGAUGACCUCAUCGAGGCCUAUGUAGACGACGUAGUCGUCAAAACAAGGGAUGCAAGCACCCUAAUCGACAACUUAGACCGAACCUUUAAGGCGCUAAACAGGUACGAGUGGAAGCUUAACCCCAAAAAGUGCAUCUUUGGCAUCCCUUCCGGUUUACUACUCGGCAACAUCAUCAGCCGCGACGGCAUACGGCCGAAUCCUUCAAAGGUAAAAGCAGUACUCGACAUGCGACCACCUAAAAAUGUCAAGGAUAUUCAGAAGCUCACCGGAUGUAUGGCCGCACUCAGCCGCUUCAUCUCAAGACUAGGAGAAAAAGGCCUCCCUUUCUUCAAACUCUUGAAGGCGUCGGAAAAAUUUUCUUGGACAGAGGAAGCUGACGCUGCGUUCACCCAGCUUAAGACUUUCCUCACUUCACCGCCUGUCCUUACAGCGCCUCAGCCCAAUGAAGACCUACUCCUUUACAUUGCUGCAACCGACAGGGUUGUUUCCAUGGCAAUAGUGGUCGAGCGAGACGAGCCAGGUCAUGUCUACAAGGUCCAGAGACCCGUUUACUUCAUAAGCGAAGUCCUAAACAAGUCAAAGGCCAGAUAUCCACAAAUACAGAAGCUCAUAUAUGCCAUUCUAAUAACAUCGAGAAAGCUAAAGCACUAUUUUGACGGCCACCGAGUCUUGGUAACCACCAGUUUCCCUCUUGGGGAUAUUCUGCGCAACAAAGAUGCCAACGGCAGAAUUGUAAAAUGGGCAAUGGAAUUAUGCCCGUUCUCCCUGGAAUUCCAGAGUCGCACCACAGUCAAGUCUCAGGCCCUGGUCGAUUUCAUUAUAGAGUGGACGGAACUUAAUGAGCGUCCCGUUCCCGACGUCUCCGACCACUGGUCGAUGUUCUUCGAUGGGUCCUUAAACAUCAAUGGUGCCGGCGCUGGGAUACUUUUCGUGUCGCCUAACAAGGACAAACUACGUUACGUCCUUAGGAUCCUCUUUCUGCCAUCCAACAACGUCGCCGAGUACGAAGCAUGCCUGCACGGCAUACGACUAGCCGUUGAGUUAGGAGUCAAACGCCUCUAUGUCUAUGGCGACUCUGCUUUGGUUAUCAACUAGCUCAACAAGGAAUGGGAUGCAACCCACGAGAAGAUGGAUCUCUACUGCAAAGAAAUUCGCAAGUGGGAAACCAACUUCUACGGCAUUGAAUACAUUCACGUGGUCCGGGAUAAGAACCAGGCGGCAGAUGCGCUGUCAAAGUUAGGGUCAUCUCGGGCACCGAUCCCGCGAGGUGUUUUCGUCCAGGAUAUCCACGAGCCAAGCGUGGGCACAGGCCUGGUCGAAAAGCAACCUACUGAGGCAAUGCUCAUAGAUGACACUACUCCGGCAACCAGUGGCCGUGAUUGGCGCACCCCGUUCAUCAAAUAUAUAUCGGACGGGUCAGGCUAUCAGGACAAAACAGAGAACGAGCGCCUUAUUCGAAGAUCAAAGAAUUACAUACUGGUGGAUGGCAAACUUAUGUGAAAAAAUGCAAGCUCUGAAGUGCUACUCAAAUGCAUAUCCCAAGAUGAUGGCAUCAAGCUCCUAGAAGACAUACAUGCCGGAUCCUGCGGCAAUCAUGCUGCCUCCAGAACACUGGUCGGGAAAGCUUUCCGGGCAGGUUUUUACUGGCCAACCGCGGUCAACGACGCAGAAAAAUUGGUCCGACACUGUGAGGGAUGUCAGUUCUUCGCUAAAAGGACCCACAUACCUGCUCAUGAGAUUCAAACUAUCCCGUCGUCCUGGCCCUUCGCCUGCUGGGGGCUCGACAUGAUCGGGCCAUUUAAACCAGCCCCUGGCAACUUCAAGUUCGUUUUCGUAUUAGUCGACAAGUUCUCAAAGUGGAUUGAAUACAUGCCACUGGUCAAAGCAACCUCCAAGAAGGCCGUGGAGUUCCUCAAUCAAAUCAUACACAGAUUCGGGGUUCCAAACAGUAUAAUCACCGACCUGGGUACUCAGUUCACUGGCACUACAUUUUGGGACUUCUGCGAUGACAGAGGCAUAGUCAUAAAAUACGUGUCAGUAGCUCACCCACGGGCAAAUGGCCAGGUUGAGCGCGCGAACGGAAUGAUCAUUGACGCCCUAAAGAAAAGGUUGUACACUGAGAACGACAGAGCACCUGGUCGAUGGAUGAAAGAGUUACCGGCUGUGGUCUGGGGCCUCCAAACUCAGACUAGUCGGAACACGGGGGUGUCACCCUAUUUCAUGGUUUACGGCACCGAGGCAGUUCUGCCGUCUGAUAUAACCUUCGGUUCUCCCAGAAUUGAAAACUUCGACCAGCCAACAGUCGACAGCGCCAGGGAGCUCAAAAUUAACUGCAUGGAGGAAAAGCGUCUAAACUCAUGUCUCCGAACAGCAAAGUAUCUUGCAGCCAUCAGACGGUAUCACAACAAGAACGUCAAAGACCGUUCUUUCGUGGUCGGCGAUCUGGUACUCAGAUGGAAAACAAGCCAGGAAGGAAUGCACAAGCUGUCCACUCUCUGGGAAGGACCCUUUGUGGUCGCCGAAGUCACACGACCCACAUCCUACAGAUUGGCAUAUCCAGACGGAACACGCGUGCCCAACUCUUGGCACAUAGACAAAUUGCGCCGAUUUUAUCCAUAAGUUCUAGUAACUUUUGCUUGUAAGUCUUUUAUAGUUGGCAAUAAUAAAAGUUUUCCUUUUUUGCUAUACUUUGUUCACACGCAGAGCUUUCGACGAGAACAACAAAGACCUCUGCGAUGGAGAUUCUUAACGACCAACAAUCGAACACAGUGAUACAUCACUCAGAUAACUUCACAGCACUCAAAAUAAUAGUCAUGACAAAAUCAAAUUUUAUUACAAACUUUACAUACAAAGUUUACAAUAAAACACCCUGACGGGCGGUCACUAGUCUACUCCUACGGACUAUCCUACUAGGCCUACUGCUCGGGCUGAUCACCCGCCUGGCCUUGCUGCCCGGACGAAGGGGUCGGGGCCACCGGCGCCUGGCUGGUCGAGACCGCAGGCGUCGACCGCCCAUCUCCGACAAGGGACGCCCCUGACAACUCUCUGGCUGACCUGUCCAAACCCGGCUGGUCGGGGGGAGUGGCCGUCCCGCAUAGAUUGAUGUCGCCGAUCACCGUCGACGACAAGUCUAGCAGUCCAGCCCGAAGCUCGUCCGCCUCCUGCGGGCCGACUUCCUUGGGAUACCCCUUCUCCAGCCUGGACAAGUCGACUAGGGGGUAGUGGGCACGCACCAUGCUGAGGAUAUGCGCGCCAGCAAACUCUCCGGCGUCCUUCACGAACUGCUGGAGCCAGUCCCACGCCCGUUGCGCCUUUUCAACUGGCGUCAGUCUCGGCGCGCGGGGCUGGCUCUCCGGAAGCUCGGGGCUGAUCAAGUCCAGGACCGAGGCUACUCCUUUCCAGAUCCUACAGCAAUUAACCUUCCAGGAGUCCCCAUCCUUGACCAGCUCGUCCAGGUGCUUCUUGGUGUUGACCUUGAGCACUGCAAAUCAAGCAAGAUGUUAGUCUCAACAUAUCGCUUUGGCGCUUGGCUGCUCUCUGCCGGCAGCGUCGGCGUAGGCGAAGGAUCUGCUGCCAACGGCCUUUUCCCCGCCACUCUCUCCUCGGUGGUCGGGAUGGGGCGGGCUUGGUCCUCCUCACUGCUGGUGUAACGAGUACACCGAGCAGCGUCUUCCUCCGGCGGAUCUUCCCCCGUAGGAUUCUCCAUCCCAGGUGCCAGUGACACAUACACUGUGCACCGGUCAACAUCUCCGAUCUGCAAGAGUAACAAAGACAAGUCAGCAGCAGACAAUAACAAAUGCUAAGGAGAAAUAAUUAGUAAGAUACCUUAGGUGCUGGUCGCCCCAACUUGAAGGCUUGCACCCGAUCACUACCACGGACGAAGCCCCCGUCCGCAAAGUUGAAUAGCUCGUUCAACAGCCGCUGCACCUCUGCCUUCUCCAAGACCUCAGGCCGCAUCCUGGUCGGGUCCAGGCUUCCGGCGUACUCGUACGCCGAGUGCACCCUCUUCUGGCAGGGCAUCACCCGACGACACACAAAGUUGCCGACCACGCCUAGCCCGUCCAAGCGCCACCAGUCGAUCAGCUUCAUCAGGUCCGCCACUUGGCCGUCGAACUCUGGGCGGUCGGUCUAGCUUACCCUCUUCUCGGGGAUGUACCCCACUUCGCAGAACGUGGAGCUGCCCGGUUCUUCGCUGACGUAGAACCACUUCCUGUACCAUUCGAUUAAGGAAGUGUUCCAUGGACAGUGCAGAUAACGGUUCUUCAUCCCGUCGUGAAGAUUGAGGUAUACUCCACCUGCAUUCUUGGAGCCUCCAACCGCUCCCUUCUUUCUUAAACAAAAAAGAUAACGAAAGAGAUCGAAGUGCGGCUCUAUGCCAACAUAGGCCUCGCACAGAUGGAUAGAAGUGGAGAUGAGAAGGAUUGAGUUCGGGUGCAGAUUGCAAAUCCCGAUCUCAUAAUACAAAAGAAGACCGUGAAGAAAAGGAUGAACAGGAACCCUAAAACCCCUCUUAAGGAAAUCCUCGAAUACUACGAUCUCACCGGCGUGGGGGUCGGGGUAGCUCUCCCCCUCCGGCGCCCUCCAGCCGCCGAGCUCCGGGCUGUGCAGUAGCCCCAUAUCGACGAGGUCACCGAGGGACUUUGUGGUGCUGCGAGAUUUCUUCCAUUCCUUGGCCAUCAGCUCGGCCCUCUUCUUGGAGUCGCUCUUCGCCAUUGGAGAUGCGGGAGUGGUUUCGAGCUAGGAGGGUGCAGGUAGUUGAAGAAGGCGAGAGCGGAAAGCUUGAAGGCGAUGGCAAAAUGAGUAAUGCGGAGUUAAUGUCAGGAUUUUAUAAACCGCAACUCCACCCCCCUCCCCACUUCCCGCAUUCUUGUGAAGUGGGCGGGCCAUACGGCGGACGCGGCGUUUCGGUUUUCAAUAAUUAUCGACAAUUAAUGUGGCAGAGUUUUCGUGCAAAUUAAUGGUUUCCUUUUCUCAAACCGCGCAAAGGGCGGCUGCACAGUUGCCAGGCGCAACUUUUCAUGCAGCCAUCUGACAUCCCGUCAGGAGGUCUCGUCACGUCAACUUUUAUGUGGAAAAUUUUUCAAAACAAGCAGACAAAAAAUGGUAGAGUCAACAAUCCGAGGACUGCACCGACCACCGAGCACUUGAUGCUCAAGAACUGGUCGCCCAGUCUAUAAAAUCGGAAAUUCAAGGACUGCACCGACCACCGAGCACUUGAUGCUCGGGGACUGGUCGCCCAGUCUAUCAACUCGGCACUUCAAGGAAUGCACCGACCACCGAGCACUUGAUGCUCAGGGACUGGUCGUCAAAUUUGUUGGGGAUGCACCGACCACCGAGCACUUGAUGCUCGGGGACUACAAGGCUCAUACUUCGCCUUCCAGCAAGCUCGGGGACUACAUCGGUACGAUGCAUCUGGCGAUGCAUCUCAGUUUCAAAACUACUUUGAGGAAUUUUCUUUUGACCCUGGCACCACGUGCCUACGUCACCUACUACCAGGGUCGGGGACUAAGUGGGCACACUUCACCUUGCGGUGAAUAUGCUUGCUUCUUUGAGGAUCCGUACUUUUCAAAAAAGUAAAGUGGGCACACUUCACCGGAAAAGAAAUAUUUUUUCUCAAGAGCACCAUGCAUUCUUCGAACAAUUGGCUUCUUCCAUGAUGACGUUGAUCAAAUAUGUUUAGAUUUGGUCAAAAUACCAUCGCAAUUGUCUGGGCAAUUUUCAUGCUGAUUGAAGAUGUCAAGUUUCAUUGGUCGAAGAAGCUCAAGACGGCGUGUUACUUCACAAUACAUGGUGCUCGGGGACUAGCUGUGGGGGUAUAAACCCCUAUACCCUUACGGCUAGACUUGGGCCAGGAGGCUUGGCCCAUUACGAGAUAAGCUCAAGGCUUGAUCCGACAGCUUGGAGUUUCGCGCAGGGAAACAAGACGUGGAGAUCAAGCAGGAUUCUAGUCGGUUAGAAUAGGAAUUGAUAUCGAACUAUCUAUGGCAAUUGUAACCGACUAGGAUUAGUUCCCAGAUCUGUAACCCUGCCCUCCGGACUAUAUAAGUUGGGGCAAGGGACCCCCCUAAGACACAAUAUUCUCUCAACACAAAUCAAUACAACUAGACGCAGGACAUAGGUAUUACGCCAACUCGGCGGCCGAACCUGGAUAAAAAGCUUGUCCGUGUCUUGCGUCACCAUCGAGUUCGUAAUUUGCGCACCGUCUACCGAUAAACUACUACCGUGGGUAUACCCCAAGGUAGACUGCCGACCAGCUUUCGUCAACAGUUAGUCAGAUGCACCCUUUCUCCCAGUGGUAAAAAUAUAAAUACGGUAACUCUGGAUAACUGUCGACGAAAGCUAGUCGGCAGUCUACCUUGGGGUAUACCCACGGUAGUAGUUUAUCGGUAGACGGUGCGCAAACUACGAACUCGAUGGUGACGCAAGACACGGACAAGUUUUUUAUCCAGGUUCGGCCGCCGAGUUGGCGUAAUACCUACGUCCUGCGUCUGGUUGUAUUGGAUUGUGUUGAGAGAAUAUGAUGUGUCGCUAGGGGGGUCCCUUGCCCCUCCUUAUAUAGUCUGGAGGGCAGGGUUACAGAUCUAGAAACUAAUCCUAGUCGGUUACAAUUGCUAAGGAUAAUUCGAUAUCAAUUCCUAUUCUAACCGACUAGAAUCCUGCUUGAUCUCCCAUCUUGUUUCCUUGCGCGAAACUCCAGGUUGUCGGAUCAAGCCUUGAACUCGUCUCGUAAUGGGCCAAGCUUCCUGGCCGAAGUCUAACCGUAAGGGUAUAGGGGUUUAUACCCCCACAGCUAGUCCCCGAGCACCAUGUAUUGUGAUGUAACACGCCGUCUUGAGCUUCUUCGAUCAGUGAGACUUGACGUCUUCAAUAAGUGGGAAAGUCGCCCAAACAGUUGCAACGGUUCUUUGACCAACUCAAAAGACAGUUGAUCAACAUUGACAUCGAAGAAGCGAGUUGUUCGAAGAAUGCAUGGUGCUCUAAAUUAAAAAAGAUUUCUUUCCUGGUGAAGUGUGCCCACUUUACUUUUUUGAAAGGUAUAAACAUCAAAAAAGCAAGCAUAUUCACCGCAAGGUGAAGUGUGCCCACUUAGUCCCCGAGCCUGGUAGUAGGUGACGUAGGCACGUGGUGCCAGGGUCAAAAUAAAAGUCCUCAAAGAAAUUCUGGAACUGAGAUGCAUCGCCAGAUGCAUCGUACCGAUGUAGUCCCCGAGCUUGCUGGAAGGCGAAGUAUGAGCCUUGUAGCAAGGUCUAAAAAAUUGAAUUUACCAGUCCGUCUGCAAUUGAAUAGACUAAUCGACCAGUCCCCGAGCGUCGAGUGCUCGGUGGUCGGUGCAGUCCUUUAAAGCGUCUAGCUGAUAGACUGGGCGACCAGUCCCCGGGCGUCGAGUGCUCGGUGGUCGGUGCAGUCCUUUAAAGCUUCCAGCUGAUAGACUGGACGACCAGUCCCCGAGCGUCGAGUGCUCGGUGGUCGGCGCAGUCCUUGAAGUUCCGAGCUGAUAGACUGGACGACCAGUCCCCGAGCGUCGAGUGCUCGGUGGUCGGCGCAGUCCUUGAAGUUCCGAGCUGAUAGACUGGGCGACCAGUCCCCGAGCGUCGAAUGCCCGAUGGUCGGUGCAGUCCCCGGAUUGUUGACUUUCUGGUGUAUGUGUCUUCUUGUUUUUUUUUUGAAAAGAUCUUCCCAGUUAAAAUUGACGUGACGAGGCCUCCUGACGGGGUGUCAGACGGAUGCAUGAAAAGUUGCGCCUGGCAACUUGUGCAACCGCCUUUGCAUGGUUUGAGAAAAGGAAACCAUCAAUUGGUACGAAAAAUCCGCCGCAUUAAUUGUCUAUAAUCAUUGUAAACCGAAACGCCGCGUCCGCCGUAUGGCCUGCCCACUUCCCGAGAAUACAGGAAGUGGGAGAGGUGGAGUUGCGGGCUUAUAAGAGCUUAAUAGGUCCGCCUGUACCGCUUACCCUGCCAUUGCCUUCAAACCUUCCGCUCUCAUCUUCUCCAAUCUCCUGCAUCUUCCUAACUCAAGCCCACAUUCGCACCUCUAAUGGCGAAGAGCGACUCCAGGAAGAGGGCCGAACUGAUGGCCAAGGAGUGGAAGAAGUCUCGCAGCACCACAAAAUCUCUUGGUGACCUCGUCGAUAUGGGGCUUCUGCACGGCCCGGAGCUCGGCGGCUGGAGGGCACCGGAGGGGGAGAGCUACCCCGACCCUCGUGCCGGUGAGAUCGUCGUAUUUGAAGAUUUCAUUAAGAGGGGUUUUGGUGUUCCUGUUCAUCCUUUUCUUCAAGGUCUUCUUUUGUAUUAUGAGAUCGGGAUUUGCAAUCUGCACCCGAACUCAAUUCUCCUCAUUUCCACCUUUAUCCACCUGUGCGAGGCCUAUGUUGGCAUAGAGCCGCACUUCGAUCUUUUCCGGUAUCUUUUCUGCUUGAGGAAGAAGGGAGCAGUUGGAGGCUCCAAGGUUGCAGGUGGAGUAUACCUCAACCUUCGUGAUGGAAUGAAGAAUCGCUACCUGCACUGCCCAUGGAACACUUCCUUGACCGAAUGGUACAGGAAGUGGUUCUACAUCAGGGAGGAACCGGGCAGCUCCACGUUCUGCGAUGUGGCAUACAUUCCUGAGAAGAGGACGAGCUGGACCGACCGCCCGGAGUUCGACGGUCCAGUGGCGGAUCUCAUGAAGCUGAUCGACUGGUCGCGCCUGGACGGGCUUGGCGUGGUUGGCAACUUCAUUUGCCGCCGGGUGAUGCCCUGCCAGAAGAGGGUGCACUCGGCGUACGAGUAUGCCGGAAGCGCAGACCCGACCAGGAUGCGGUCGGAGAUCUUGGAGAAAGCGGAGGUACAACGGCUGUUGAACGAGCUGUUUAACUUCGCGGAUGGGGGCUUCAUCCGUGGCAGUGAUCGGGUGCAAGCCUUCAAGUUAGGACGACCAGCACCAAAGGUAUGUAGCAGUAUUCUGUUUUAGCAUUCGUAUAUCGUCUGCAGUUGACUCAUCUCUGUUGCUUUUGCAGAUCGGCGAUGUCGACCGGUGCACAGUGUAUGUAUCACUGGCACCGGGGAUGGAAAAUCCUGCGGGAGAAGACCCGCCAGAGGAGGACGCUGCUCGGUGUACUCAUUACACCAGCAGUGAAGAGGACCAAGCCCGCCCCAUCCCGACCUCCGAGGAGAGGGUAGCGGGGAAGAGGCCAUUGCCGGCAGAUCCUUUGCCGGCGGAUCUUCCGGCGGAGAGCAGCCAAGCACCGAAGCGUCGUCGGCUCGUGCGGAUCGUUGACGACGACGACGACGACGAGGAGGCUGCGCCGUCGUUGGUCCGACGGCCCCGGGGUCGCCCAGAUAAUGCGCCGGCCGCUACUGAUCGAGUGGCCAGCGACGCCCCUGCACCGCAAGUUGUCGAGACGGGGGCGCAAGUGCCGACCGGCCGGGCGAGGAGGAGGUUCACCGCCACCCACCGUGGAUCAGACCUGUAAGUGUUCGACUUACGUAUUUUUGGACUCCUCUUUGUUUUUUUUUUGAAAUUUGACUUUUGUUCCUGUAGUGCGGCAUCGGAUGUCGACCCCGGCCAAACUGCCAGCCAGGGAACGGGCGAGCCUGCCCGCGGUUCUGGGGAUGCGGCCCCCCAGACCACAGAGCAGCCAACAGCUGCAGUUGCGCGUGGGAGCACCGAGGGGCUCCCGAGCGCGGCACCAACUACGACAAGCAGCCCGACCAGGGCUGGAGAGGCUCCCCCAACUGACUCCUCAGAGAAAGGAAGAUCUCCGACCGCUCCUCCUGCCGGGGGGAGUGAAGUCCCCACGCCGCCCCGAGCAGGAGCCUCUUCGGCUGCGGGCUCCCCAGGUCUGGUCCAAGGGCCAGUAAUACUUGGGACCACCACCGGGGGUGACGCAGCACAGGAGGAGGAAACCCGGGCGGCCUCCGAUGAUGAGGUGGAAGAGAUCGAGGGUCGUCCCCGUGAUGGCCGCCAACACGUGUAUGUGUGGCGCCAACGCGGGGAUCACUUUAUCGGGCAUGAGGAGCUCGCCGAGACCGAAGAGGCCGCCAGGGUGGAGCGCGCGGCCUAGCGCCUCGUCGACGAAGUCAAGGUAAGCGGCUUUUUGUACUGCUGCACAUUCUUUUGCCUUGUCUUGCAUGGUCGUUAUAUGCUUGCUUUGUAGGACGUAAUGAAAACGGCGAAGUACCGGAAACGGUGCUUUGACCAGAUAGAAGGCGUCAUGGCCGAGAACAAGGCCCUUGCCGCGGAGGUAGACCGGUUGCGGGCGGAGGUCGGGGAGAAGGUGGUCGAGAUGAGUGCCGAAAAGGAGCGUCGUCUCGACCUCGCUCGUCGUUUGGCCGACCAGUACCGACUGCAAGAAGGUUAGUCCCACGCUCCGAGCAGCUUCGCGUACUUGUAUAGUUUGCUUUGCUGACCAGUUUAGGAUUCACGCAGACUUGGAGGAGGAGGUGGCGAGCCUCCGACAAGAGAAGGAGCAGCUCAGCCAACAGCUCGCCGGUGCGCUGGAAUCCGGGCGGCGAGCAGGAGAGGAAUUGGGUCGAAAAGACCGGGAGCUAUCUGGUAAUGGUUGCCGCCUUGUUGGUUACUGCCUGCCCCUUUUUAUGCCGAAAAUAACGCUUCGUUUCUUUUGCAGUGCUCAAGGUGAACGCCAAAAAGCACCUGGACGAUAUGACCAAGGACCGGGACUCCUGGAAGGUCAACUGUUGCAGGAUCUGGAAAGAAGUGUCCCCGGUCCUAGACCUGAUCAGUCCCGAGCAGUUGACCCCGGUCGAGAAGGCGCAACGGGCGUGGGACUGGCUCCAGCAGUUUGUGAAGGACGCCGGGGAGUUUGCCGGCGCGCACGUCCUCAGCAUGGUGCGCGCCCACUACCCCCUGGUCGACUUGAGCAGGCUGGAGAAGGGGUACCCGAAGGAAGUCGGCCCGCAGGACGCGGACGAGCUUCGGGGUAGUCUGCUGGACUUGUCGUCGACAAUGAUCGACGACAUCAAUCUGUGCGGAACGGCCACUCCUCCAGACCAGCCGAGUUCAGAUAGGUCGGCCAGGGAGUUGUCGGGCGCGUCCGUUGCGGGAGAUGGGCGGUCGACGCCUGCGGUCUCGACCAGCCAGGCGCCGGUGGCCCCGACCCCUUCGUCCGGGCAGCAGGGCCAGGCGGGUGAUCAGCCCGAGCAGCUAGGCCAAUAAAGUAGUCUGUAGGAAUAGAAUAGUGUCUGCCCGUCAGGGUAUUUAUUGUAAACUUUGUAUGUAAAGUUUGUAAUAAAGUUUACUUUUUGUCAUGACUGUUGUUUUGAGCGCUGUAAAAAUAUCUGAGUGACGUGUCACCGUAUUUGUCUUGGUUGUCGCUAAGGGCAUCCAUUGCAGGAGUUUUGCCGAGUGCUGUGUGUGACAAGGUAUAGGCAAAAAAUAGAGAAUUUCAUUAUCAAAAAUUAUAAGAUACUUACAAAAGAGAGUCAUUAAAACUUUAUGGAUAGAAACGUCGCAGUUUGUCGAUGUGCCAAGAGUUAGGCACUCGUGUUCCGUCUGGGUAUGCCAAUCUGUAGGACGUAGGUCGUGUGACCUCGGUCACCACGAAGGGUCCUUCCCAGGGAGUGGAUAGCUUGUGCAUUCCCUCCUGGCUUGUUUUCCAUCGAAGCACCAGAUCGCCGACCACGAAGGAACGGUCCUUGACGUUCCUGUUGUAGUAUCGCCUGACUGCCGCGAGAUAUUUUGCUGUUCGGAGACAUGAAACUAAACGCUUUUCCUCCAUGCAAUUGAUUUCGAGUUCUCUGGCGUUGUCGGCGGUCGCCUGGUCAAAGUGCUCGAUUCUAGGUGAUCCGAAGUGUAUGUCAGACGGCAGGACCGCCUCUGCACCGUAUACCAUGAAGUAGGGAGACACCCCUGUGUUUCGACUGGUCUGAGUUCGGAGGCCCCAGACCACUGCCGGCAAUUCUUUCAUCCAUCGACCGGGUGCUCUGUCGUUUUCGGUGUACAGCCUUUUCUUUAGGGCGUCAACGAUCAUUCCGUUAGCACGUUCGACUUGACCGUUGGCACGCGGAUGUGCCACUGACACAUAUUUUAUGACUAUGCCUCUGUCGUCGCAGAAAUCCCAAAAAGUGGUGCCAGUAAACUGAGUGCCCAGGUCGGUGAUUAUGCUGUUCGGGAUGCCGAAUCUGUGUAUGAUUUGAUUGAGGAACUCCACAGCCUUCUCGGAGGUUGCCUUGACCAGGGGCAUGUAUUCAAUCCACUUGGAGAACUUGUCGAUUAACACGAAGACAAACUUGAAAUUGCCCGGGGCUGGUUUAAAUGGUCCGAUCAUGUCAAGACCCCAGCAAGCAAAGGGCCAAGACGACGGGAUGGUUUGAAUUUCAUGGGCAGGUACGUGGGUCCUCUUAGCGAAAAACUGACAUCCUUCGCAAUGCCGAACCAGUUUUUCUGCGUCGCCGACCGCGGUUGGCCAAUAAAAACCUGCUCGGAAAGCCUUUCCGACCAGCGUUCUAGAUGCGGCGUGAUUGCCGCAGGAUCCAGCGUGUAUGUCCUCCAAGAGCUUGAUACCAUCAUCUUGGGGUAUGCACUUGAGCAGUACUUCGGAGCUUGCGUUUUUCCGCAUGAGUUUUCCGUCGACCAGGAUGUAGUUCUUUGAUCGUCGGAUGAGGCGCUCGUUCUCUGUUUUGUCCUGAAAGCCUGUCCCGUCUGAUAUGUAUUUGAUGAACGGGGUACGCCAGUCACGCCCGCCGGUUGUCGGAGUGGCGUCAUCUAUGAGCAUUGCCUCGGUGGGUUGCUUAUCGACCAGGGGGGAGCUUACGCUCGGCUCAUGGAUGUCCUGGACGAAAAUACCCCGCGGGAUUUGGGCCCGAGAUGAGCCUAACUUUGACAACGCAUCUGCUGCUUGGUUCUUAUCCCGGACCACGUGGAUGUACUCUAUGCCAUAGAAGUUAGUUUCCCAUUUGCGAAUUUCUUUGCAGUAGAGAUCCAUCUUCUCGUGGGUUGCGUCCCACUCCUUGUUGAGCUGGUUGAUGACCAAAGCGGAGUCGCCAUAGAGGCGCUUGACCCCCAGUUCAACGGCUAGUCGUAUGCCAUGCAAGCAUGCUUCGUAUUCGGCGACGUUAUUUGACGCCGGAAAAAGGAUCCGAAGGACGUAACGGAGUUUGUCCUUGUUGGGUGAUACGAACAAUAUCCCAGCGCCUGCACCGUUGAUGUUCAAGGACCCGUCAAAGAACAUUGACCAGUGGUCUGAGACAUCGGGAACGGAAGGCUCGUUGAGAUCCGUCCAUUCGGCAAUGAAAUCGACCAGGGCUUGAGACUUGACAGUGGUGCGACUCUGGAACUCCAGGGAAAAUGGACAUAAUUCCAUUGCCCAUUUCACGAUUCUGCCAUUGGCAUCUUUAUUGCGCAGGAUGUCCCCGAGAGGGAAACUGGUUGUCACCAGGACUCGAUGGCCGUCGAAGUAGUGCUUCAGCUUUCUUGACGUUAUCAGGAUGGCGUAUAUAAGCUUCUGUAUUUGUGGGUACCUGGCCUUGGACUCGUUAAAGACUUAGCUUAUGAAGUAAACGGGUCUCUGGACCUUGAAGACGUGACCUGGUUCAUCUCGCUCGACCACUAUUGCCGUGGAAACAACCCUGUCGGUUGCAGCAAUGUAAAGGAGUAGGUCUUCAUUGGGCUGAGGCGCUGUGAGGACAGGUGGUGAAGUGAGGAAGGUCUUAAGCUGAGUGAACGCAGCGUCGGCUUCCUCUGUCCAAGAAAAUUUUUCUGACGCUUUCAAUAGUUUGAAGAAAGGGAGGCCUUUUUCUCCCAGCCUUGAGAUGAAACGACUGAGGGCGGCCAUGCAUCCGGUUAGCUUCUGAAUAUCCUUGACGUUCUUCGGUGGUCGCAUGUCGAGUACGGCUUUGACUUUUGAAGGGUUUGGUCGUAUGCCGUCGCGACUGACGACGUUGCCGAGCAGUAGACCGGAAGGAACGCCGAAAAUGCAUUUCUUGGGGUUGAGCUUCCACUUGUACCUAUUGAGUGCCUUGAAGGUUCGGUCUAAGUUGUCGAUUAGGGUGCUCGCGUCCCUUGUUUUUACGACCACGUCGUCCACAUAGGCCUCGACGAGGUCAUCGCGAAUCUCGUCGUGGAGGCAUUGCUGGAUGGCCCUUUGAUAAGUGGCCCCGGCGUUUUUAAGUCCGAAAGACAUGGUAGUGUAGCAGUAUGCGCCGAAGGGUGUGAUGAAGGAUGUUUUGAUCUGAUCUUCUUCCUUUAGCGAGAUCUGGUGAUAGCCAGAGUAGCAAUCUAGAAAGGAGAGUAGUUCGCAUCCGGCCGUUGAGUCGACCACCUCGUCGAUGCGAGGAAGACCAAAAGGGUCUUUAGGACAGUGUUUGUUGAGAUCGGUGUAAUCAACGCACAUUCUCCAUUCAUUAUUCUUUUUGCGUACAAGAACCGGAUUGGCGAGCCAAUCGGGGUGAUACACUUCUUUUAUGAAUCCGGCUGCUAGAAGCCGUGUUAUUUCUGUCCUAAUGGCCUCCUUUUUGUCACGAGCGAACCGUCGCAGUUUUUGCUUGAUUGGUCUUGCGGUCUUCGAGACAUUUAAGGAGUGCUCGAUCAGGUUUCGUGGGACACCGGGCAUGUCUGCGGGUUUCCAUGCGAAAACGCUCACGUUGUCCCUUAGAAACCUGACGAGCGCGUCUUCCUAUUUUGGAUCCAGGUUAGCCCCGAUGAGGGCUGUCUUCUCGGGGUUGCCUUCGACCAGCUGCACUUCUUUGUAUUCCUUGGAUUUUGAGUUCUUUCUGGCUGUCUCCUGCUCAGGUAAUCGGAGCUGGUCGGGAGGCAGCUGUGCGGCUUGGUUUGCUGUUUCCGCCAUGCGGAUUGAGAGGUCGAUUGCCUCGGUGAUCUUGAAGCUUUCUUCUUCGCAGGUGUACGCGGUGUAGACGUUGCCUCUGACGGUUAGGACACCCUUCUCCGUGGGCAUCUUAAGGACUAGGUAUGAGUAGUGCGGGACUGCCAUGAACUUUGUCAGCGAUGGGCGGCCCAGUAUGGCGUGAUAGGUCCCGUCGAAAUCCGCGACUACGAAGUUGAUGAACUUCGUCCGAAAGUGAUUGGGUGUGCCGAAUUGGACAGGCAAUGUUAUCUGUCCGAGGGGCACCGAACUUUGACCUGGCAAAACCCCCCAGAAUUGGGCGUCGUAAGGUUUUAGUUGUGCCGGUGAUAUCUUGAGAGCGGGCAGGCUGUUGCGGAAGAGGAUGUCGAUGGAGCUUCCCCCGUCCACGAGCACGCGCUCGAAUCUGAUGCUAUUGAUGCAGGGAUCAAGAAUCAGUGGGAAACGACCCGGCUCUGGGAUAGCGGCCCACUGGUCCUUCCUGCUGAACGAGAUCUCCCUGUGGGACCACGCGGGGAAUUUCGGAUCUGCGAUCAGCCCGUCCGUGCUGUCUAUGUUGAGGCAGGCUCUCUUUAACAGCUUUCUUUCUCGCUUGGACUCAGUGGAGACCUUGCCCCCGAAAAUGGAGUGGACCACGUCGGUGGGGCUGACGUAUUGGUGUCGGGGGUCCCUGUCUUGGUCCUCAUCCUCAUCUUUGUGGUCGUGCCCGUCGCGCUUGUUAUUUUUCUUGGCGGAGUCCUCUUGGGCGGCCCGUCGUGUAUAGAUACUUUUGAGGACGCGGCACUCUUCCAUGGUAUGGUUAGACUUUGGGUGUAGCUGGCACGGUCCCUUCAACGUUUUGUUGUAGUCGUCUUGGUAGUCCCGUCGUCCAUUGGGACGUUUGACCGUAUUUACUUCGUGGUCGUAUUCGCGAGGGCGCUUUCCUCUGAAGUCGUCGCGGCUGUCGCGCCGCCGAUCCCAACCCUCUCGGUGAUCGCGGUUGUCGGAGCGGCGGUGAUUUCUGUUGUCGUAGCGACCACGACCGUCAUCUCGCCGGGAAGGCUGGUCGGGGCCUCUCGCAUCGUCUCGGAUUAGUUUUUCUGCGUCAUCAGCAUCGGCGUAAUUUUUAGCCGUGGCGAGGAGCUCUGCUACCGUUGAUGGGCGCUUACGCAACAGCUUGUUCCUCAGCGCUUCAUGGAAACGCAAGCCCUUGAUAAAGGCUGAUAUGGCCUCGUCAUGAGAAAUCUUCGGGAUUUUGAGGCGCAUAUCCGAGAACCGUCGGAUGUAAUCGCGCAGAGGUUCAUUCUUCCUGUCUCUUAUCCUUUCAAGGUCGUACUUGUUUCCGGGCUGCUCGCAUGUGGCGAUGAAGUUGUCGAUGAAAGCCUGGCGUAGCUCUUCCCAAGAGUCGAAGGAGUCCUCGGGCAAGCCGAGAAGCCACUGAUGACCAGCCUGGUCGAGGACUACGGGGAAGUAGUUAGCCAUGACGUGCUCAUCUCCUGCCGCUGAUCGGACGGCGAUUUCAUAGAGAGUGAUCCAGUUCUCUGGAUUUUCCUUGCCGUCGUAUUUUUUAAGUUUUUCGAGCUUGAAAUUGCGGGGCCACACGACCUGGCGGAGGUGUGAGGAGAACUGUCUUAGGCCCGGAGGACCGUGGGUCGCAUCGUACUCGAUGCGGCGCAGGUUUUCGUGGACUGCUCUCUCUGCGGCGCGCUUGUUGAUGCGGUCCCAGGCAUCUUUGGGAGGGAUGUUGUGGCGGAGAUCCCUGUGUUGAUCUUCUUCUUGGCCGCGUACGCCAUGAAUUUGCUUGAGGCGGCCAUCGGCGUCCCGACCACCAUCGUCGCGCCGCGAGUCCCCUCGACGGUUGUCGGGGGAGCGGCUGCGGUGACGCCUGCUGGGUGAGACCUGGCUACGAUUAGUCUGGUCGGAGGCGGCUUCCGUAUAAGAGACGUCCUGGAAUCUCUUGAGCAGAGUGGUCGUCUGUCCCAUUGCGGCGAUCAGGUGUGCUCGGAUGCUGGUCCGGACUCCCUGGCAUUCGGGGGUGUCAGGAAGCCGAUCCAGGUUGGCCAUGGCGACAGCCACGUUGGCGCUUGGCGUUUUGUAGACUGGCUGGUCCCCGACCAUGUCAAAGGCAUCGUUGAGGUUACUUGGUGGCAUCUAUUGUUGCUCGUCCGCACGCCGUCGGGCGCGAUCGGCGUUACGCUGUUCGCGGAGUUGCCUCUGGUCAUCUGUUUCUCCGUCAACAGCCGGCUCGUCGGCGCUGACAUUGAACACAAUAUCCCCUCGCCGGGGGGGGAAUAUCGGGAAUCGGUCGAAACCCGGAGGGUGUGAAGGAAAAUCCAGGUCGUAGCCCUCGUCUUCGGUGUUUAUAACCUCGGUGGGGACGGAGCCGGUGCUUGAGUUGGUGCUGGAAACCUGGCCGUCCCGUAGCUCUCGGAUUGUCACCAUGUUGACAUGGUGACGAUUGUUCCUUGACGGCGACCAACCCGCCUUGCUGAAAACGGAUUGGACAUGCUGUGAGUAAACAGAGGCCGAGUUGUUCAGGCCGCGAGGAUAGUCUUCCUUUUUGAGCUCGACGGAUCGUCCUGAGGGGGUUGAGGUUAUCGUCAGGGACGUUCCCAGCCGUUCGUGUGUGGCGACACGAGUUGGCCGGCGGGAUUUCGAAAAAUCCGUUCGAGCAGCUUGGUCGGGCCGGCGCAGAACUCCAUCUAUUAGUUGGGAGACUUCGAGUAGCUUGGAGUCAGCGCGAUCGAGCGCUUGGAGGAGGUCCGAGCAGUCGAUCUCCUUUCCCUUGUAGAGUGGGAACGGUGGUCGGGCGCUUGGUGCCGUCAUGCGUGUGGUCGGAGACGGCGUGAUCUCAGAUUGGAUCUGGAUCUCCUUCGGAACCAUGGUCGCGAAGCCGCCGCUGCACGUCGUCCACGUGAUCUGGCCGACGGUGAACGUGAGGCCUUCGGGCACGGUCGCGGAAGCUGGGAUCGUGACCAUCUUGUUUGCCGAAAAAGUUGCACGCACACCCCCUACCUGGCGCGCCACUGUCGACGAAAGCUAGUCGGCAGUCUACCUUGGGGUAUACCCACGGUAGUAGUUUAUCGGUAGACGGUGCGCAAACUACGAACUCGAUGGUGACGCAAGACACAGACAAGUUUUUUAUCCAGGUUCGGCCGCCGAGUUGGCGUAAUACCUACGUCCUGCGUCUGGUUGUAUUGGAUUGUGUUGAGAGAAUAUGAUGUGUCGCUAGGGGGGUCCCUUGCCCCUCCUUAUAUAGUCUGGAGGGCAGGGUUACAGAUCUAGAAACUAAUCCUAGUCGGUUACAAUUGCCAAGGAUAAUUCGAUAUCAAUUCCUAUUCUAACCGACUAGAAUCCUGCUUGAUCUCCCCAUCUUGUUUCCUUGCGCGAAACUCCAGGUUGUCGGAUCAAGCCUUGAACUCGUCUCGUAAUGGGCCAAGCUUCCUGGCCGAAGUCUAACCGUAAGGGUAUAGGGGUUUAUACCCCCACAAUAACCUUCCGGGUGAAAUGCUCACCGAUAUCCGUGCGCUUGCGGAUCAUUUCCUUAUUGCGUUACCAAAUAUCAACAAGCAUUUCUGGCGUCGUUGCCGGGGAGAAAGACGGUUUGCUGAGAUAACUUUGAGUCUUGCUAUUAUCUUGUAUUAUACUUUUAUACUUUUAUUCUUUUAUCUUUUUAUUUUUAUCUUUAUGGAUAACUCAAAUUCCAUACCUAUUAUUGAAUUCUUUGCACCUUCGGAGACCAGCCAUAGAACAUGGGAGUCAACAAGUCCUGCCCCUAAUUAUGAUCUGUGUCCGGAGUUGAUUGCAAUAGGUCAAAACCAACCCUUUUCUAUAGCCGAGGUCCUAUCUUUUAAUCAAGAAGAUAAUGCACUUUUAGCUACACCGAGGGAAUCUGUUAAUCUUUCUAUAAAUUCUGGUUUAGACCUAGCCCUACAACACCAUGUUUUUACUGGAUAUUUUCAUAUUGGUCUUACUCAUAUAACCUUUGGUAGAGUCUUUCUUUCUUUAUCUAUUAGUAAAUGAAGGUAUGUCUUCAUUUGUGGAUAUCCUUCUUGUACUAGUCUUCAUAGAAAAAUCUUAGAGAUAGAGAAGGAACCAUCUCCCAGACGAGGAAAGGAAGUUUUAAUAGCCGAUUUCCAAACAUUUCAAUCCCAUGAUUCGGCUAUCCAACCCAUCCUUGAGCUUAAUAGUUUCUACUAUGCUCUUGAACCUCUCGAUAAUCCUAUGAAUCUUUCUAGACAUCCCAUGCAUAAGAAGGAGGAUCGAGAAGAGCAACAUCAAUGGCUAGAGGGCAUUAAAAAUCCAUGUGCUAUCACCAUUGAAUGGAUGGAUAAAACAAACUUGAGAGACAAUCCUAGAGGAAUUUUAAGCAUUCAUGAAGAAUCAUCCUUGGAGUUUGAGAAUGAGAGAAACAACAGUGAGCAUGGAAGUUAUUUCAUAAAUACCUUACCAAGUCCUUGCUCAUAUAAAACAUCUCCCCAAUCAAAUUGGUCUCUCCAACAUCACCACAUUUGAGAUCUCCAACGCUCUCUUCCUUUCUAUUUAUAAAAACUUUAAAAGAGCGGUUGUCGAUGCAUAUGUCUAUAAUAAAUAUUGCAGAUCUCGUUGAGUUGAUCUUUAUAGGUCAGCGUCGGAGGGGAAACCACUUUGCCGACAUGAAUUGAUGGUUUCCCAAGCACAAGCUUAGUGUCCUAAAACAAGCACUUAUCAGAUCGUAAUAUGAACUUUUAAUUAUUUGCAACAUUGCCUUAUGUAUUGAGCAUAUAAAGAUAAUUGUAGAAAUAUUUCUUCAGGUAUUCGUGUCACUAACCUUUCUAGGAUUGGAGCAAGAAGAUCCGAGGAAAGACAAGCGCAAGGUAUGCUCAACUAAUCAUCAUGCAACAUUGAAUUAAAUUCAUCCAAUCUUGAAUUUUGCAAAAUUCAAGGUUGGGGGAGUACUUCACAUAAAAACAUCCUUUGCCAUGUUGCUAUGUUGGUUGUUCUUACCUUUGAGACAUGCUCAAUUGAUUAAAUACUAAUCACACUACUUCAUCUCCACUUGAGUAGAUCUCUAUAAAUGCCAUCACGCUACCUUUGUUUAUCCUAGUAAGUGUUAGUUUGGAAGUACUGCACAUACUUCUAUUGGCUUUUAAAUUAAGCAUGGUGCUUAGGUUAAACAGCCUUCCUUAAUCUGAUUAGACAUGGAGUCUAGUUCGGUUAUUGAACUAAAAACUGCUUGUGUAGACAUUGGUAUAUUUUGUUGGACUAACCCCUGCAGGAAAACUUUCAAUAUCAACCUGAGAAGUCCUGAGAUACAAACUCAUUAGAGAUAAAGGAAACACAUGAAAUUUAACGACUUGUACAAGGAAGACAUAGCUCAUAGAGAGAUGAUCCAUGGAAGGAGACAAAGUACACAAACACGAUGCACAACCGCUAAGAAAGGAAAGCUUCCACAAGGUGAUACUAUACCAUCACUCUUCAAGUUAGGUAACAUCUUAAGGUACUUGACUAUCGCUUUUAUAAGCUUCUCCUUGGUUCUGGCAUACACAUAAAUAAAAGAGACAAACAUGUAUGAUCUGUAACUCCAAAUUAACCAACUCAAUUAAUUCAACAUGUUUAGUCCUUUAAUCUUUGUUCUUAGUACUACCUUCAUGAUCUCACACUCCCAAUCAUAUAAGCUAAAAUGUUGCACAUUCAAUCUUUGGGGAGAUAUAAAGAAAAAGACAUAUACAUAGAUAGAUUAUCUUUCCAUUAGGUCGAUCAAUCUGAUCUCACAAAUGUUUUAAAUACUACACUCAUGAUCUUAUUAUCCAUCAACUUUGUCUUGCUCACUAUGCUUAAGGUUAGAGAAGAACAAAUACACUUUUGGUUUUGUUGGUGUUUUCCGCCAACAGGGCCCAUGCACUUGAUCUCUGCCUUGUCUUUAUGAACAGGUACACUUCGAGCAAAACCUGAAGGAGUUUCACAACUCCUAGACUCCACCAAGUGAAGGACCUGGAUCUAUGAGCACAAACACACUGAGCAGGAUAUUGCCAACGCCGCACUUCGAACUACUGGGCAAACAAAGAAUAUAGGUGACACCGUAUCAAGAAGUGCAGAUGUCAAGUUCCACACUUAAUCAAAUGAUGCACCUAAAGGAUGAAGACAGUGAGAAGUCUUGUCCAGAAGACCUAAAACAUUGGAUCCUUGUCGGAGGUGGUCAAGAUCGUCGACUCAAGAUCAAGAAGGACGACCCUGGUGUUCCAAGCAUCGAGUGCACAAUCAACGGAUACUCUUUUCAGAAGAAACUCUACGACACCGGAUCUGACGUCAACAUAAUGGCUGCAGUCACUUAUCAGCUCCUGUAUGGAACCAUGCCCCUACAACCAACAUAUAUUCAGCUCCAGAUCAUUGGCAUGGGAGAAGACGAGUACGAUCCAACCAUCAUCCUUAGAAGACCGUUCCCCAACACUAUCAAAUUUAUCAUCUAUAUUGGAACCGGAGAAGUCCACGUGUACUUCCCCUCUAAGAAGGUACACCGCUAUUUUACUCACCUUAACUAUAUAGUUGAAGACUCUAAGCAGGUCAAGACAAGAAGAAGAUAACGCAACCGCAACCAGAGGAGGCAAAUCAUCAUAGACGGAUGGGCAUACUACGAAGGAGAAGUGGUAAGGUCUGAAGACAUAUAGCUUGAACAGAACUGUCCUGAGGAGACCAUAACACCGAGUCAGGUGUGGAGAGAGAAGAUAGUUACACACGAAGAGAAGGCGCCGCCGGAACCACCGACUACGACACCUAGCGAAUCCCAGGACGACUGAAAACACAAGGAGUCCCAUUCGGAGGACUUAAAAACACCGAACGCCUUGCCAAGAGGUAAACUUGGUAGUUAUCUUUUUCCCUUCAAUUAUUCAAUUAUAGUUUGCCUAGUUAAUCAGGUUCAUGCUAUCUUGAAAAGAAAAUAAAAAUGUUAAAAAAUAGUAAGCCCCAUGUGAGUAUGCUCAUGGCAUAAAAUCCAUAAGUACAUUCACUGUGGUGGCAUAAAAAUAAAAUAAAUAAGUUUUCAUCUUACAAUAAAAAUAUAAAAAUAAUAAGUGCAUGAUCAUGCUAAAUAAGUAACGUUUAUUGAGGAGGCUCAACAUGAUAAAGGCUAGAUAUUUAUGCUAACACUUAACCAGUUCCACAAAGCUUUGUUGUCUAUUUGAGCUCCACAGAAUUUAAGGAUCAAAGAAGACUAGCAGACGGAGGACAUCCUAAUCGCUGUCAGGGUGCUGCCGACUUUCAAAUACACCUCCAUCACCUGCUAGCUACAUCAGAAGAAAUUACGUCAAAAUCCAGCUUGGGAGAGAACACCCCCAUUUAUCCAGCUAAGUGUUUCUACUCGCGUUUAUACUUUACUCAAAUAAUAAAAGAUGCAUAAUCAUGAAAACCCAAAUAAAGAUUUUGUGCUUAUAUAUAUAUAUAUAUAUAUCUUUGCUUAGUUUGCUAAAUAAAUAAAUAAAUAAAGUUUGCUAUGAACCCUCAUGAUAAACUCUCACAUGGAAAUGAUGAAUAGUUGCUCUGCCAUGACUAGUUUUUAAAAUUGAAAUCCCUCUCAAGCUUAGGCAUGACUGUUAUGAAGUAAGAUUUGCUCUAAACCUGAACUUGUGGGAAGAGUACUUGAUCUAAAGUCUAAGUCGUUAACAGAUAUGAUAUGGGAAGGUUGAGCUGUUGUUUAUCUGUUCCUAGAGAUGCUAGAAUUCUAGAGAAUUUUAUCUUUGAAAAAUCUUUAAAAUAACACAUGAUGAGUUUCUAUAUGAUGAGAGUUUAAAUUCCUACCACGGCCAUAUAUACAUCCUUGCUAGACUUUGAGCCACAUAUUUACUUUUUACUGCUUAUGAGCAUUGAGUGUGGUCAAGUUGUGUAGACCCUUAGGAGCUUGUCAUGUGGUUAAAAUCAAGAUUCACUUGCACGUUCACUCAUACAUGCUACUUCUACUCCGGAUGUACCAUCCACAUAUAUCCACUCAUUUCUAUCUCCAGAUUCACCCAAAAUUAUUCUACUCCUAAUCUGGGAGAGAAUAGCCAAAAACUUUAUCCUAUCCCUGUUAUUCCCUGUGAAAUAAAUGCUCGAGUUAUCUUGGUUACUACCACUUGCUAUAUUAUUUAAGGAGAUGAGUGCUCUAAAAAAAGAAGAAAAAAAAGAAAAAAAAUACGAGGAAAUAAAAAGGGGCAAGUGCCCGGAACCUCGAAGAAAAAGAAAAAGUGAGACGAGAGGUAAAAAUGGACAAGUGUCUGACAGUAGAAUUAGGGGUACAAGAUACCCAUCUGAGAGAAAAGAAAAAGAAAAUAUAGAGCAUCUCAUUCUCUCCAAAAAGCUUCAAAGUGCAAGAAAGGUAUGUAUCCCCUCAAAAGAGCAAAAGUAGUAUUAGACUUUCACCAUUAUUAUCACCAUCAUCACCAUACACCAUUCAUUCGCCACACAUGCACAUCUUGAUUUGACUCAUUGACUUAUUUCUCUGGAUCCAUGGUUUGACUAUGCAAUAAAUGUCUUGUAAGUAUGUAUUAGCUGUCUCCCACAUAUGAGCUCCAGAUAUCAAAACCUUAUUAGAGUAGGGUGAGAGAGAAGGCAAUAUCACUAUGCCUCAUACCACAAAUACUACAUACUUUGAGAGAAGGCAUAUACCAUUACUGCCUUGGCAAGGAUCCACAAAUACUACAAAAGAGAGAUUUGAGAGAAUCAUAUAAGGAAUCUCUGAGUUUUAUUUGAAAAUCUGUAAAAACUCCAGAGCUAUAGCUGAUCAAGAAUAAGAGACAUGGCGCUUGACUUGACCGUUCUAUCUUUUAACUGCUCAAGACACAAGUGACGGUUACAAGCCCCAUGGUGAAAGGUAAAAUGAGUAAGUUUUAAGUCUUAACAGUUUAUUCUACUCAGAGAUGAGAUCUCGCUUGAAUGUGUGUGUACUUUUAAGGCAUGAAACCACUGCAGAAACUCUUGAGUUCACCCUUGCUCAGGGACGAGCAAGAGGUAAGCUUGGGGGAGUUGUUGACGGUCCUUAAGUACCAAAUAUAAUCAUCAAAUAAAUAAAGAAAAGGAUCCAAAUGCAACCAACACCCAGACUUAGGGUUUUAUCUGACAGAAUUCCACGAGUUUUGGUGUUUGUCUAUUUCUGCAGGGGGUUAUCAGGAAAUAUGUAAGAAAGGCCCACACGUCGGGAUUACAUAGAGAUAUCAACACACCGCGCGAUUUUCUACCAUCUAGAAGACUCCAGAAGCCACGUGAAGAAAGCGGAGGCCGAAAGGCGCCAGUCCCAGGGUGCCCGCCCUAAGGACCUGGGCGCCCGCCCCCCUCUGGAUGCCUUUCGGGACUCUCUUCGCACACAAUGUUCCACCGACCUAAUGGAUCAAAGAUAAUGUAGUACCACCUCGCCUACCGACCCAAAAAAGCAUAGAGGAGGAGGACUAUAUAAGGAGACCCCCUGGCCCCUGGAGAAGACAAGAAGUUAUCAUAG
RNAcentral lists this long non-coding RNA (29368 nucleotides) under Sorghum bicolor (sorghum). Its description in RNAcentral is "long non-coding RNA (SBIC_LNC017036)". The record is from RNAcentral. Lineage: Eukaryota; Viridiplantae; Streptophyta; Magnoliopsida; Poales; Poaceae.